UGUAACGAUGUUUAAAGCAGGUCUUGUGCGGUUACAGAGGACAUGACAGCAUCAAGAGUUUGUAGGAGAAUCAUGAUGAUAAUCAGUUGCAAUGUGAACUAACAAAUAACCUUGAAGUACAAGCAGAUCCAAUUAAUGUGGAACAAAUGAAGGAGAAUCAUGAUGAUGAUAAGUUGCAAUGUGAACUACCAAAUUACCAUGAAGUGCAACCAGAUUCAAAGCAUAUGGAACAAACAGAGGUGGAAUCAACUUCAGACGACAACUUUUCCAAACACCUUGUGAAAGUCAUCUGAAUGCCAGGAUUCUCAAGAGCAUGAAGAUAGUCCAUUACAUAGAAGGAAAACCUUGAUUAUGUAUCUUGAUGCCAUUGGUGAAAAGGCAGAGGUCUGAC
Saccostrea cuccullata (small rock oyster) is the source of this 391-nucleotide long non-coding RNA. RefSeq lists it as uncharacterized. The record is from RefSeq and is a predicted model, not a curated record. NCBI's taxonomy places the organism in Eukaryota, Metazoa, Mollusca, Bivalvia, Ostreida, Ostreidae. The transcript is spliced from 4 exons.